RNAcentral lists this ribosomal RNA (490 nucleotides) under uncultured bacterium. Its description in RNAcentral is "partial 16S ribosomal RNA". It matches the Rfam family "Bacterial small subunit ribosomal RNA", at positions 29 to 507 of the family's 1533-position model. The record is from RNAcentral.
AGUGAACGCUGGCGGUAGGCCUAACACAUGCAAGUCGAACGGCAGCACAGGAGAGCUUGCUCUCUGGGUGGCGAGUGGCGGACGGGUGAGGAAUACAUCGGAAUCUACCUUUUCGUGGGGGAUAACGUAGGGAAACUUACGCUAAUACCGCAUACGACCUACGGGUGAAAGUGGGGGACCGCAAGGCCUCACGCGAUUAGAUGAGCCGAUGUCCGAUUAGCUAGUUGGCGGGGUAAUGGCCCACCAAGGCGACGAUCGGUAGCUGGUCUGAGAGGAUGAUCAGCCACACUGGAACUGAGACACGGUCCAGACUCCUACGGGAGGCAGCAGUGGGGAAUAUUGGACAAUGGGCGCAAGCCUGAUCCAGCCAUACCGCGUGGGUGAAGAAGGCCUUCGGGUUGUAAAGCCCUUUUGUUGGGAAAGAACUCCUGUCGAUUAAUACUCGGUGGGGAUGACGGUACCCAAAGAAUAAGCACCGGCUAACUUCGUG